This 4059-nucleotide small RNA is filed under the name Pongo abelii (Sumatran orangutan). RNAcentral's name for it is "processed transcript". Lineage: Eukaryota; Metazoa; Chordata; Mammalia; Primates; Hominidae. The record is from RNAcentral.
UUUUGUCCUUUUACGGCUUCUUCCCGUCAUUGUCAUGGUGAUUGUCAGCCGUUGUGGCACUGGUGGGAGUGUCACUGAGCAUGAAAAUGAGAUUGUAAUGAAGUUGGAGGCCCUGCAAAGGCCAGGUGGACUUCCACUUAGCAUCCUGCUGGUCUUAGCUGGUUUAACCAAGAGGGGAGCCUCUGACCUCAGGCAUCGGAUUGCUGAAGAUAAGCAGAGUUUGAAUUGUGCAGCUGUUCAGCCAAGCCUACAAGAUGUAUAGUGCUGUGGGGGUAACAUGGCCUCCCUACCCAGCCUCACUUCAGAACUUUUUGUACCAAGGCUGGACUGUAGAAAAGUCCUUCCUAUGCCAUGGCACUUUCCCACUGAGGCCUCCCAUGGGUGCCGUUUCCUUUGCUGGGAGGUUCUCCUCGACUUCUGGCAGUCUAUACUCAUUUAAAGGUUUCCGCCUUCUCUAAAGCCUCUCGCUGCUGGACUUCAUGGUGGAUCAGAUUUCCCUUUUAUAAACAUUCAUAGCAGACUGUACAUUUCUUUCACUGUGUUUACCAAAUGAUUUGAUGACGUUGUAUUUGAUUGCGAAGUGCGUAAGGGCAUGGGCCUUCUCCAUCACUGGCGUUCCUUGCACCACAGGAGCUCAAUCAGUGUUUCUUAAAUGAAUACUUGAAAUUUUGCUUGGUUGUGUAUUCCUGCACAGCAGUGACCUUCAUGGCGUUUGAUGAGGCUUCUCAGAUGCAACAACAAAAGCAUAAGCCACCAAAGGAAAAAAUAAAUCGGACUUCAUCAAAAUUAAACACUUUAGACUUCAAAGGACAUUCUCAAAAAAGUAAAAAACAACCAUAAACUAGCAAAUAAUACAUCUGAUAAGGGCCUAAUAUCCAGAAUAUAUAAAGAAUUAUUACAACUCAACAGUAAAAAGACAAUCCAAUUUUAAAAUGGUUAAAGAAUUUGAAAAAUUUUCCAAACAAAAUUCACAAGUGGCCAGUAAGUGCAUGAAAAGAUGCUCAACGUCAUUAGUCACCAAUGACUUAGUCAGCAAUGACUAAUGCAUCAGUCACUUGAAAUGCAAAUCAGAACCUCUGAGAGCUGCCAGUCCACACCCAGUGGGAUGACUGUAAUCAGAAAGAUGGGCAGCGCCAGUGAGGAUGCAGGGAGACGAGUCUUGUACACAUUGCCAGGGGAACAAAAACAGUGCAGCUGCUGUGCAGAAACGGGAAGGCAGUUCCUCAAAGUUGGACGUAGAGCUACCAUGUGACGCAGCAUUUCCACCCUGAGGGGACACUCAGAAGACAGAGGCAGAUCCCCAGUGACAUCUCUUUCCUGUUGGGGUUUGCUUUUGUCACAGUCUCCAAUAGAGGUCAUCGUUCCUGGUGCCAGACCAGCUACGAUAUUACCAUACAUGUAGCAUUUUACGUGAAUUACAGAGUACUUAUGUGUUUUGUUUGGUUUUCCCAUAGCUCUUUGAAGUCAUAGAACAAUAUUAUUAUUUGUCUCCGUUUUCAGAUGAGGAAAACGAGACCUUGAGAGACUUUUGUUUGAGGUCAUGCACCUAGGGAAUGAUAAAAGUCAUAGACCUGCUUAGAGCAGCUCACAGGCAGUUAUAAAACAGGGUUUGAUAUUUUAAAAUUGUAUUUUUACAUUAUUUUAAGUGUUUCUAUAUGGACAGAUUUUGGUCUUUAAGAGUAAUUUUAUGUUCUGUGGCUUGUAAACCACCUGCUUAUUUUCUGUACUGGGCACUUUUGUAUUUUUGUGCCUUGACUUUGAGUGAUUUUAUCAUUUUGUUAACACCACAGAGUGUUCUUCGUAAACCUAGAUGGCGUGGCCUACUACACACCCCCACUGUGGGGCGCAGCCUGUGGGUCCUAGGCUGCGAGGAGCAAGAGCAGCCUUGUGUGGCUGCACUGAAUGCUGUAGGCAACUGGAACACAGUGGGAAUUAUUUGUGUGUCUAAACAUAUCUAAACACAGAAAAGAUGUAGUAAAAAUACAGUGUGAGAAUCUGUAGGACCCCCAUCUCACAUGUGGUCAUCUGUAGUUGACCGAAGUGUUGUGUAACAUGUGACUAUUUCCAAGUUAAUUGCAGACAGUGGCACACCCUCCCCUAGGUGCUUCAGUUUCUGUUUUUUCAGUCUUUUGAGGUAAAAUUUGCAUGCAGUGAACUACCUACAGUAUUAUCUGUCUGCUUGCUGCUGAGGUAUAGGACACGAUUGCCACCCCAGAAACUUCCCUCAUCCCUCAUGUGGGGCAGGCCCUUUCUGCCGUCUGGAUUUGUUCCACCGUGGGUCAUUUCCUGCCUGUUCGGUGACUUCAUGUAAAUGGAUGCCCACAGUGUGUACUUUUUGUGUCUGCCUUGGUGGGACUCAUCCUCUUUGUGUUUUACUCGUUUGUUUUGUUGUACUGAUGAGAAGGUAUUUUUCCAUUUUUCUUUUCUUUUUUUGUUUUUGUUUUUUGAGACGGAGUCACGCUCUGUCACCCAGGCUGAAGUGCAUUGGCCUGGGUUCGAGUGAUUCUCCUGCCUCAGCCUCCUGAGUGGCUGGGAUUGCAGGCACACAUCACCAUGCCCUAUUGUUCCAUUUUUCAAAAAUGGUUUAUAACAAAUUUUACACAUUGUUGCUGCAAAUGAGGCAGUUUUUAGCUGGUGCCGCGGAGGGAGGAUGUUACUCAAGUAGUUAAUUGGGAUUUUCCUGGUUUUCUUUUUCUUUUAUUUUUACCCAUCAGGUAAGACAUCUUUUUUCAUAAUGUUAUUUUGUUUGAUGAAUAUGACUUGAUAUGAAUAAGUUGAUAUGAAUAUGACUUGAGCUUUGGGACUUUACCUCAAGAUAUUAAUUUGUUUAGGCAGUUUAUUUUGUGAUUUAUAAAUAAAAUUUUGAUUUCCUAUGUAACUUAAAAAAAAUUAUUUCCCCGUAGCCGUGCUGGUAUAGAGGACUCUAAGAAGUGGGGCAUGCUGUUUCUGGUGAACCAGCUGUUUAAAAUCUACUUCAAGAUCAACAAACUCCAUUUAUGUAAACCGCUAAUUAGAGCAAUUGACAGCUCAAACCUGAAAGACGAUUACAGCACUGCACAGAGAGUAACAUACAAAUACUACGUUGGACGCAAGGCCAUGUUUGACAGCGACUUUAAGCAAGCUGAGGAGUACCUGUCGUUUGCCUUUGAGCAUUGUCACCGUUCUAGUCAGAAGAACAAAAGGAUGAUUCUGAUCUAUUUGCUUCCAGUAAAAAUGCUAUUGGGUCACAUGCCCACUGUGGAGCUCCUGAAAAAGUAUCACCUGAUGCAGUUUGCAGAAGUAACCAGAGCUGUGAGCGAGGGCAACCUGCUGCUGCUGCACGAGGCGCUGGCGAAGCACGAGGCCUUCUUCAUUCGCUGCGGGAUCUUCCUCAUCCUGGAGAAGCUGAAGAUCAUCACCUACAGGAACCUCUUUAAGAAAGUGUAUUUGUUACUGAAAACACACCAGCUCUCUCUGGAUGCUUUUCUGGUUGCCCUGAAAUUCAUGCAGGUGGAGGACGUGGACAUUGACGAAGUUCAGUGUAUUCUGGCUAACUUGAUAUACAUGGGCCACAUCAAAGGCUACAUAUCGCAUCAGCAUCAGAAGCUAGUGGUCAGCAAGCAGAACCCAUUUCCUCCACUGUCCACGGUGUGUUGAAAGUACAUGUAGCCCUGAGGACGGCCUGAUGAAAACCUGGAAUUCCUUUUUCACAAAACUCAGCUGGUUCUGGAGUCUUUGUGAAACUUCCUUGAAGGAGGCUUUGCGUGAAGGCAGCUCCGACUCACUUUUCCUAAGUGUGGUUCCUGAAGGCUGUCUUUGUAACUUUUUGUAGUUCUUUGUAUAAAAAGGAUAUUCUGAAUUUAUGCACAUGGCAUGUUCUUCAUUAUAUCUUCCAGGAUACAUCUAUUUUUAUAUAUUAAAUUUGAAUAUGUUAUCAAAAUGCUUGGUUAACUUAAGGCAUCUUUUUAAAAGCAGAAUUUAAUUUGAUUUAAAUUUUCCAGAUUUUAUAGCUUGCCCGUAUGGAUGCUCCUCAAUUUAUGAUGGGGUUACAUCCCAAUAAACUUAUUUUAUUUGCCUUUG